Molecule: long non-coding RNA, 265 nt
Filed under: Citrus maxima (pomelo)
Lineage: Eukaryota; Viridiplantae; Streptophyta; Magnoliopsida; Sapindales; Rutaceae
Description: long non-coding RNA (CMAX_LNC004302)
Source: RNAcentral
AGAAGAACUCCAUUCACUAUCUAAAAAAAGAUCGAUCUAUCAUAUCUUUCUAUUGUGUAUGAAAUUUAUGGUUUCCACUGGCGCAAAUUCCACCACCUCAAUUUGCAAUUAAUUUAAGGUGAGAAAGAAUUCCCCAUUGGUAACAAAUAGUUAUCCAUUAAGCGGGGGAAAUACUAUAAAAAAAGCAGAAAGAUUAUCUUUCUACUCUUGCAAGAACGGACUAACAAGGUCAGCUACCCCACCAAUCUUCAUAAUUAAAUACCGU